CUCUGCGUGCGCCGGAGGCUGCCAUGGCGGGUGGGCAGCUUGACUUCUCCUCCCGGCCAGUUGUCGAGCGCCUCACCAGGCCUCGCCCUGCAGCCUCGCUCUCCCUGGCGCUGCGCGGCCUAGGGGACUGGGCUGCUGGCCUCCGGGUGCGGGGUGGGGGCAGGCUCUGACCUGGGGCGUUCUGGCCGCGCGAGCCGCGGGAUGGGGCCCCCGGCCCCGGAGGAGGCGCCGCUGCUGUGUCCCUUGGUGGAGAGGGCGCUGCCAGCCCUGCGCGGUUUCCAGCCAGGAAGCUUCGGGAAGCCUGGACGUCUGCUCACUGGAGAUGACACGUGCGUGGGGUGUUGGGAAGGAGGUGACUUCGCCUGUGAUGGACUCCCAGUGUGAGCUGUGAUGGACUUCCAGUGUGAGCACUGGCCAGAGUGACCAGGCCGACCAUCAACAGCCCUGAUCCAGAUGCAGAGGCCAGGAUGUGGGCCCAGCCCUGUGCCAGAAGGCUGGCUGGAAUAAAGGUACAGAUAGAGGCCUCACCCCCUCUGGGACCACUGGCACUCAGGGUGUUUGCAGCCUCAGAGCCCACCUACCCCCAGGGCCACAGCUGCAGCUCCUGCCCUGCUGUCAUUACAGGGAUGGGCAGGCUGGCAUGGGGGCACCCGCUGCCCCUGCCUGGGUGUUGCUGUGUAUUCCCGCCGGCCAGGGGCCACUGCCAGGACCACCCCUCCCUUUUCAUAUCCCGAUUCUUAAGUUCUGCUAUUGUGGUAUUGUGGUCGAAAAAAAAGAACCGCUUGGCUGUUUUUGAACUGCCUGGAACCUAAGAUCCUGAAUUUUUUUUCCCCCCCAAGGGGGAAAGUCUAUAUGGAAAACAUUUAUUUUAAAAUACAGGAUGAAGUGAAUUAAAAGAUUUAAAUGCAAAAAAAAAAAAAAA
RNAcentral lists this long non-coding RNA (922 nucleotides) under Homo sapiens (human). RNAcentral describes it as "HSALNT0341824". The record is from RNAcentral. Lineage: Eukaryota; Metazoa; Chordata; Mammalia; Primates; Hominidae.